AUUGAACGCUGGCGGAAUGCUUUACACAUGCAAGUCGAACGGCAGCACGGACUUCGGUCUGGUGGCGAGUGGCGAACGGGUGAGUAAUGUAUCGGCACGUGCCCAGUCGUGGGGGAUAACGUAGUGAAAAUUACGCUAAUACCGCAUACGAUCUAUGGAUGAAAGCGGGGGAUCGCAAGACCUCGCGCGAUUGGAGCGGCCGAUAUCAGAUUAGGUAGUUGGUGGGGUAAAGGCCCACCAAGCCAACGAUCUGUAGCUGGUCUGAGAGGACGGCAAGCCACACUGGAACGGAGACACGGUCCGGACUCCUACGGGAGGCAGCAGUGGGGAAUUUUGGACAAUGGGCGAAAGCCUGAUCCAGCCAUUCCGCGUGCAGGAUGAAGGCCCUCGGGUUGUAAACUGCUUUUGUACAGAACGAAAAGGUUUCUACUAAUACUAGGAGCUCAUGACGGUACUGUAAGAAUAAGCACCGGCUAACUACGUGCCAGCCGCCGCCGUAA
This 500-nucleotide ribosomal RNA is filed under the name uncultured bacterium. Its description in RNAcentral is "partial 16S ribosomal RNA". It matches the Rfam family "Bacterial small subunit ribosomal RNA", at positions 30 to 523 of the family's 1533-position model. The record is from RNAcentral.